CUUCACCCUGGCCCCUCCACUGCUCUGCAUCGCCGGCCCCUACUUCCCCACUCUCCCGGGCCUCGGCCUGCAGGUGCUGGAGCCACCCCAGCAUGGAGCCCUGCAGAAGGAGGAUGGACCUCAAGCACCUUCUCCUGGAGAAUGGUGGAAGAGCAGCUGAUCCACGUACGUGCACGACGGGAGCAAGACACUGACAGACAGUUUUGUCCUGAUGGCUAACCCCUCCGAGAUGGACCACCAGAGCCAUCCUGUGGCCUUCACUGUCACUGUCCUGCCUGUCAAUGACCAACCCCCGGUCCUCACCACAAACACAGGCCUGCAGAUGUGGCAGGGGGCCACUGCGCCCAUCCCUGCGGAGGCUCUGAGGAGCACGGACGGCGACUCUGGGUCUGAGGAUCUGGUCUACACCAUCGAGCAGCCCAGCAACGGACGGGUAGUGCUGCGGGGGGCGCCGGGCACCGAGGUGCGCAGCUUCACGCAGGCGCAGCUGGACAGCGGGCUCGUGCUGUUCUCACACAGAGGAACCCUGGAUGGAGGCAUCCACUUUGGCUUCUCUGAUGACAAGCACACUUCCUCCGGACACUUCUUCUGAGUGAUGGCCCAGAAGCAAGUGUUCCUCUUGCUGGAGGGCAGCUGGACACUGACUGUCUGCCCAGG
This 657-nucleotide long non-coding RNA is filed under the name Homo sapiens (human). RNAcentral's name for it is "novel transcript". Lineage: Eukaryota; Metazoa; Chordata; Mammalia; Primates; Hominidae. The record is from RNAcentral.